RNAcentral lists this ribosomal RNA (274 nucleotides) under uncultured bacterium. RNAcentral describes it as "partial 16S ribosomal RNA". It matches the Rfam family "Bacterial small subunit ribosomal RNA", at positions 523 to 796 of the family's 1533-position model. The record is from RNAcentral.
AUACGGAGGGGGCAAGCGUUAAUCGGAAUUACUGGGCGUAAAGCGUACGUAGGCGGUUCGUUAAGUUAGAUGUGAAAGCCCCGGGCUUAACCUGGGAACUGCAUUUAAAACUGGCGAACUAGAGUUGAGUAGAGGGGAGUGGAAUUUCAGGUGUAGCGGUGAAAUGCGUAGAGAUCUGAAGGAACACCAGUGGCGAAGGCGACUCCCUGGACUCGAACUGACGCUGAGGUACGAAAGCGUGGGUAGCAAACGGGAUUAGAAACCCUAGUAGUCC